AUUUGGUGAUGAGGACAAGUGGUAUAGAACUUGUUGAAUCUCUCCCAGUACUCAUACAAAUUCUCACCAUUUUGUUGUCUUAUUCUACAAAUCUCGUUUCUAAUUU
Molecule: non-coding RNA, 106 nt
Organism: Cajanus cajan (pigeon pea)
Lineage: Eukaryota; Viridiplantae; Streptophyta; Magnoliopsida; Fabales; Fabaceae
Source: Rfam